AUGCACGCUGGCGGCGUGCCUCAUCCAUGCAAGUCGCGCGAACAGACGAGGAGCUUGCUCCUCUGACGUUAGCGGCGGACGGGUGAGUAACACGUGGAUAACCUACCUAUAAGACUGGGAUAACUUCGGGAAACCGGAGCUAAUACCGGAUAAUAUAUUGAACCGCCUGGUUCAAUAGUGAAAGACGGUUUUGCUGUCACUUAUAGAUGGAUCCGCGCCGCAUUAGCUAGUUGGUAAGGUAACGGCUUACCAAGGCAACGAUGCGUAGCCGACCUGAGAGGGUGAUCGGCCACACUGGAACUGAGACACGGUCCAGACUCCUACGGGAGGCAGCAGUAGGGAAUCUUCCGCAAUGGGCGAAAGCCUGACGGAGCAACGCCGCGUGAGUGAUGAAGGUCUUCGGAUCGUAAAACUCUGUUAUUAGGGAAGAACAAAUGUGUAAGUAACUAUGCACGUCUUGACGGUACCUAAUCAGAAAGCCACGGCUAACUACGUG
RNAcentral lists this ribosomal RNA (496 nucleotides) under uncultured bacterium. Its description in RNAcentral is "partial 16S ribosomal RNA". It matches the Rfam family "Bacterial small subunit ribosomal RNA", at positions 29 to 507 of the family's 1533-position model. The record is from RNAcentral.